Small nuclear RNA from Urocitellus parryii (Arctic ground squirrel), 104 nucleotides. The record is from Ensembl. Lineage: Eukaryota; Metazoa; Chordata; Mammalia; Rodentia; Sciuridae.
AUGCUCACUUUGGCAACACAUAUACUAAAAUUGGAAUGAUACAGAGGUUAGCAUGGCCCUUGCACAAGGGUGACACACAAAUUCGUGAAGGGUUCCAUAUUUUU